AUGGGAGGGAGAUCGCCGCCGGCGGGGUGGCGGCGAUGGGUGCGGACGCGGCUUCUUCUUCUUCUUCUCGUGGUGCUGGCGCUGGCGGCGACGGCGGCGGUGGAGGGGAGGUUCGUGGUGGAGAAGAACAGCCUGCGGGUGACGUCGCCGGCGGCGCUGCGGGGCGUGUACGAGUGCGCCAUCGGCAACUUCGGGAUGCCGCAGUACGGGGGCACCAUGCACGGCGUCGUCGUCUACCCCAAGGCCAACACCAAGGCCUGCAAGCCCUUCGCCGACUUCGGCCUCUCCUUCAACCCCAAGGCCGGCGGCCUCCCCGUCUUCCUCCUCGUCGACCGCGGAGACUGCUACUUCACAACCAAGGGAUGGAACGCGCAGACGGCCGGAGCCGCCGCGGUGCUCGUCGCCGACGACAGAGCAGAGCCCCUCAUCACAAUGGACACCCCAGAGUCCAGCGGCAAGGAGCACCUCGAGAACAUCACCGUCCCCUCCGCCCUAGUCUCCAAACGCUUCGGCGACGACCUCAAGGGCGCCCUCGAGAACGGCGACAUGGUGAACGUGCUCCUGGACUGGCGAGAGUCCCUCCCUCACCCGGACGAGCGCGUCGAGUACGAGUUCUGGACCAACAGCAACGACGAGUGCGGCGCCAAGUGCGACAUGCAGAUGAGCUUCGUCCGGGACUUCCGCGGGGUGGCGCAGGUGCUGGAGCAGCGCGGCUACACCCAGUUCGCGCCGCACUACAUCACCUGGUACUGCCCGGAGGCCUUCGUCCUGAGCGCGCAGUGCCGGUCGCAGUGCGUCAACCACGGCCGCUACUGCGCCCCCGACCCCGAGCAGGACUUCACCACCGGGUACGACGGCAAGGACGUCGUGGUGCAGAACCUGAUCCAGAUUUGCCUCUUCAAGGUCGCCAACGAGAGCCGCAAGCCGUGGCUGUGGUGGGACUAUGUGCACGACUUCGCCAUCCGGUGCCCCAUGAAGGAGAAGAAGUACACCACCGAUUGUGCUCAUGGUGUCAUCAAGUCGCUUGGGAUGGACAUUGACAAGAUUACCCAAUGCGUCGGAGACCCCGACGCCGACGAAGACAAUCCGGUGCUCAAAGCAGAGCAAGAUGCUCAAAUUGGCCAUGGUGCUCGAGGGGAUGUUACCAUACUGCCGACUUUCGUCGUCAAUAACAGACAGUACAGAGGGAAACUGGAUAAAAGGGCGGUGCUACGAGCGAUAUGCUCGGGAUUUGAGGAGACGACCGAACCCGACAUCUGUUUGACUCAAGACAUACAAACAAACCAGUGCUUGGAAAACAAUGGAGGUUGCUGGCUGGACAAAAACACUAAUUUCACGGCGUGCAAGGAUACCUUCCGUGGGCGGGUUUGCGAGUGCCCGGUUGUCAAUGGCGUCAAGUUCGUUGGCGACGGGUACACCCAUUGUGAAGCUUCUGGUGUCGGUCGAUGCCAAAUCAACAACGGAGGCUGCUGGAAGGAGACCAGGAACGGCAAGUCUGUCUCUGCCUGCUCGAAUGAGCAAGCUAAGGGCUGCAAAUGUCCGCAAGGAUUCAAGGGCGACGGCAUACACGGUUGCGAAGAUGUUGAUGAAUGCAAAGAGAGGCUCUUCUGCCAGUGCAAGGACUGCAGCUGCGAGAACACAUGGGGAAGCUACGAGUGUGGCUGCGGUGGUAGCAACAUGCUAUACAUGAGAGAGCAUGACACUUGCAUCAGCAAGGUCGCGACUUCGUCGCUGGGAUGGGGUUUCAUGUGGGUCAUCUUCUUCGGCCUCGGUUUCGCGGGAGUUGGAGCAUACGCCGUCUACAAAUAUCGGCUACGGAGCUACAUGGAUUCAGAGAUCCGCGCGAUCAUGGCGCAGUACAUGCCGCUGGAGAACCAGGAGACGUCGAGCCACCAACGGCAUGUGGAGCACGCCGACAUCUGA
This 1923-nucleotide ribosomal RNA is filed under the name Triticum aestivum (bread wheat). RNAcentral describes it as "partial small subunit ribosomal RNA". The record is from RNAcentral. Lineage: Eukaryota; Viridiplantae; Streptophyta; Magnoliopsida; Poales; Poaceae.